Molecule: ribosomal RNA, 395 nt
Filed under: uncultured bacterium
Lineage: Bacteria
Description: bacterial SSU rRNA
Rfam family: Bacterial small subunit ribosomal RNA
Source: RNAcentral
GACGAACGCUGGCGGCGUGCUUAACACAUGCAAGUCGAGCGGUAAGGCCCUUUCGGGGGUACACGAGCGGCGAACGGGUGAGUAACACGUGGGUGACCUGCCCUCAGCUCUGGGAUAAGCCUGGGAAACCGGGUCUAAUACCGGAUAUGACUCCAUGACGCAUGUUGUGGGGUGGAAAGCCUUGUGCGGCUGAGGAUGGGCCCGCGGCCUAUCAGCUUGUUGGUGGGGGAUGGCCUACCAAGGCGACGACGGGUAGCCGGCCUGAGAGGGCGACCGGCCACACUGGGACUGAGACACGGCCCAGACUCCUACGGGAGGGCAGCAGUGGGGAAUCUUGCGCAAUGGGCGAAAGCCUGACGCAGCGACGCCGCGUGAGGGAUGACGGCCUGGUGUAA